CCGCUGGAUUUUUCUAGUGAUGAUGAAGUUUAGAUUGUGUGGAUAGUUUUCUGUUUAGUCAUCUUAGUUUGUUCUUAUUCUCAUUCAUAUGUAUUCUGGUGUGUUUUUGCUGUCUCUUUGUUUUCUGUGGUUUU
This is a long non-coding RNA of Melanotaenia boesemani (Boeseman's rainbowfish), 134 nucleotides long. RefSeq lists it as uncharacterized. The record is from RefSeq and is a predicted model, not a curated record. The transcript is spliced from 3 exons. NCBI's taxonomy places the organism in Eukaryota, Metazoa, Chordata, Actinopteri, Atheriniformes, Melanotaeniidae.